This 863-nucleotide ribosomal RNA is filed under the name uncultured fungus. RNAcentral describes it as "bacterial SSU rRNA". It matches the Rfam family "Eukaryotic small subunit ribosomal RNA", at positions 713 to 1507 of the family's 1831-position model. Lineage: Eukaryota; Fungi. The record is from RNAcentral.
GGGGUCGCGAUAAGGAGCGCGUACGCGACUUGCGUGCCCGUCCUGGCGGGCGGCCUCACGAAAGUCGUGGGCCAGAUGGACCUUUAUCUCGGGGGAAUCCCAUGGCCGUUGCUGGCAGGGGCGGGGAACCCGGACCUUUAGCGUGAAACGAUUGUACUGCGAAAGCAGGCCGUUGCUCCGAUGCGUUUUGGUGGAAUAAAAGAAUAAGAUGUGCGGGAUUUUUUUGUUGGUUUCUAUCACCCCCCUAAUGAUUAAUAGGGAUAGGGGGGGACUUCAGUAUUCAGCGGUCGAAGGUGCAAUUGUUGGAUUUGCUGAUGACAAACUGCUGCAAAAGCGUUCAUCGAUGAUUUUUUCAUUAAUCACGGAACGAAAGUUAGGGGAUCGAAGACGAUCAAAUACCGUCGUAUUCUUAACCAUAAACUAUGCCGACUAGGGAUCGGGCGGAGUUUCUAUGAUGACCCGCUCGGCACCUUACGAAAAAUCAAAGUUUGUUGGGUUCUGGGGGGAGUAUGGUCGCAAGGCUGAAACUUAAAGAAAUUGACGGACGGGCACCACAAGGCGUGGAGCCUGCGGCUUAAUUUGACUCAACACGGGGAAACUCACCAGGUCCAGACAAAAUAAGGAUUGACAGAUUGAGAGCUCUUUCUUGAUCUUUUGGAUGGUGGUGCAUGGCCGUUCUUAGUUGGUGCAGUGGAUUUGUCUGCUAAAAUGCAAUAACGAACGAGACCCUCGGCCUUCAGUAGCCGGGUCCCCGCUUGCGGUCGCUGGCUUCUCAAGGGGACUAUCGGAUCAGCCGAUCGUAGUACUGGCACUAUGACGUCUGUGAUGCCCCUAGAUGUCUCGGCGCAGCCCGCUACACGACG